RNAcentral lists this ribosomal RNA (943 nucleotides) under Gardnerella vaginalis. Its description in RNAcentral is "bacterial SSU rRNA". It matches the Rfam family "Bacterial small subunit ribosomal RNA", at positions 368 to 1319 of the family's 1533-position model. Lineage: Bacteria; Bacillati; Actinomycetota; Actinomycetes; Bifidobacteriales; Bifidobacteriaceae. The record is from RNAcentral.
GCAAUGGGGGAAACCCUGACGCAGCGACGCCGCGUGCGGGAUGAAGGCCUUCGGGUUGUAAACCGCUUUUGAUUGGGAGCAAGCCUUUUGGGUGAGUGUACCUUUCGAAUAAGCGCCGGCUAACUACGUGCCAGCAGCCGCGGUAAUACGUAGGGCGCAAGCGUUAUCCGGAAUUAUUGGGCGUAAAGAGCUUGUAGGCGGUUCGUCGCGUCUGGUGUGAAAGCCCAUCGCUUAACGGUGGGUUUGCGCCGGGUACGGGCGGGCUAGAGUGCAGUAGGGGAGACUGGAAUUCUCGGUGUAACGGUGGAAUGUGUAGAUAUCGGGAAGAACACCAAUGGCGAAGGCAGGUCUCUGGGCUGUUACUGACGCUGAGAAGCGAAAGCGUGGGGAGCGAACAGGAUUAGAUACCCUGGUAGUCCACGCCGUAAACGGUGGACGCUGGAUGUGGGGCCCAUUCCACGGGUUCUGUGUCGGAGCUAACGCGUUAAGCGUCCCGCCUGGGGAGUACGGCCGCAAGGCUAAAACUCAAAGAAAUUGACGGGGGCCCGCACAAGCGGCGGAGCAUGCGGAUUAAUUCGAUGCAACGCGAAGAACCUUACCUGGGCUUGACAUGUGCCUGACGACUGCAGAGAUGUGGUUUCCUUUCGGGGCAGGUUCACAGGUGGUGCAUGGUCGUCGUCAGCUCGUGUCGUGAGAUGUUGGGUUAAGUCCCGCAACGAGCGCAACCCUCGCCCUGUGUUGCCAGCGGGUUAUGCCGGGAACUCACGGGGGACCGCCGGGGUUAACUCGGAGGAAGGUGGGGAUGACGUCAGAUCAUCAUGCCCCUUACGUCCAGGGCUUCACGCAUGCUACAAUGGCCAGUACAACGGGUUGCUUCAUGGUGACAUGGUGCUAAUCCCUUAAAACUGGUCUCAGUUCGGAUCGUAGUCUACAACUCGACUAC